Molecule: unclassified non-coding RNA, 352 nt
Filed under: soil metagenome
Description: partial contains 5.8S ribosomal RNA, internal transcribed spacer 2, and large subunit ribosomal RNA
Rfam family: 5.8S ribosomal RNA (bases 1-120)
Source: RNAcentral
GAUGAAGAACGUAGCGAAAUGCGAUAAGUAAUGUGAAUUGCAGAAUUCAGUGAAUCAUCGAAUCUUUGAACGCACAUAGCGCCCGCCAGUAUUCUGGCGGGCAUGCCUGUUCGAGCGUCAUUACAACCCUCAGGCCCCCGGGCCUGGCGUUGGGGAUCGGCGGAAGCCCCCUGUGGGCACACGCCGUCCCUCAAAUACAGUGGCGGUCCCGCCGCAGCUUCCAUUGCGUAGUAGCUAACACCUCGCAACUGGAGAGCGGCGCGGCCAUGCCGUAAAACACCCAACUUCUGAAUGUUGACCUCGAAUCAGGUAGGAAUACCCGCUGAACUUAAGCAUAUCAAUAAGCGGAGGA